CCUCCCGCAAAAAUCAAUGUAUAGGAGGUCUCGCCUGCCCAGUGACAAGUUAAACGGCCGCGGGUAUUUUGACCGUGCGAAGGUAGCGCAAUCACUUGUCUUUUAAAUGAAGACCUGUAUGAAUGGUAGAACGAGGGCUUAACUGUCUCCCUUUUUAAGUCAAUGAAAUUGAUCUGCCCGUGCAGAAGCGGGCAUAAUAAUACAAGACGAGAAGACCCUUUGGAGCUUAAGACUUCAGAUCAAUUAUGUCAAGAACUUAAAUCAAGUUAAACCAAAUAACACCUGAUCCUAAUCUUCAGUUGGGGCGACCGCGGGAGAAAACAAAGCUCCCAUGAGGACUGGACCCACCUCCAGAACCAAGAAAGACAUCUCUAAGUCACAGAACCUCUGACCAUAAAGAUCCGGCCACCCGCCGACCAACGGACCAAGUUACCCUAGGGAUAACAGCGCAAUCCCCUUUUAGAGUCCAUAUCGACAAGGGGGUUUACGACCUCGAUGUUGGAUCAGGACAUCCUAAUGGUGCAGCCGCUAUUAAGGGUUCGUUUGUUCAACGAUUAAAGUC
This 562-nucleotide ribosomal RNA is filed under the name Ariopsis felis (hardheaded sea catfish). RNAcentral describes it as "partial 16S ribosomal RNA". It matches the Rfam family "Bacterial large subunit ribosomal RNA", at positions 1819 to 2595 of the family's 2925-position model. Lineage: Eukaryota; Metazoa; Chordata; Actinopteri; Siluriformes; Ariidae. The record is from RNAcentral.